This 429-nucleotide ribosomal RNA is filed under the name Gemmatimonadota bacterium. Its description in RNAcentral is "Gemmatimonadetes bacterium partial 16S ribosomal RNA". It matches the Rfam family "Bacterial small subunit ribosomal RNA", at positions 355 to 776 of the family's 1533-position model. Lineage: Bacteria; Pseudomonadati; Gemmatimonadota. The record is from RNAcentral.
UAGGGAAUCUUCGGCAAUGGACGAAAGUCUGACCGAGCAACGCCGCGUGAGUGAAGAAGGUUUUCGGAUCGUAAAACUCUGUUGUUAGAGAAGAACAAGGACGUUAGUAACUGAACGUCCCCUGACGGUAUCUAACCAGAAAGCCACGGCUAACUACGUGCCAGCAGCCGCGGUAAUACGUAGGUGGCAAGCGUUGUCCGGAUUUAUUGGGCGUAAAGCGAGCGCAGGCGGUUUCUUAAGUCUGAUGUGAAAGCCCCCGGCUCAACCGGGGAGGGUCAUUGGAAACUGGGAGACUUGGGUGCAGAAGAGGAGAGGGGAAUUCCAUGUGUAGCGGUGAAAUGAGUAGAUAUAAGGAGGAACACCAGUGGGGAAGGCGGCUCUCUGGUCUGUAACUGACGCUGAGGCUCGAAAGCGGGGGGAGCAAACAGG